This 962-nucleotide small RNA is filed under the name Fagicola fagi. Its description in RNAcentral is "eukaryotic LSU rRNA". The stretch from base 375 to 962 matches the Rfam family "Eukaryotic large subunit ribosomal RNA", at positions 1 to 597 of the family's 3401-position model. The record is from RNAcentral. Lineage: Eukaryota; Fungi; Ascomycota; Dothideomycetes; Venturiales; Venturiaceae.
GGCCCCGCCUGCCGGAAUUAGCCAACCCUGCCUGAAAAUUGAAGUCUGAGAACAAGUUAAAUUAAACAAAACUUUCAACAACGGAUCUCUUGGUUCUGGCAACGAUGAAGAACGCAGCGAAAUGCGAUAAGUAAUGUGAAUUGCAGAAUUCAGUGAAUCAUCGAAUCUUUGAACGCACAUUGCGCCCCCUGGUAUUCCGGGGGGCACACCUGUCCGAGCGCCAUUUCUACCCUGGAGCCCUGCUCUGUGAUGGGCCCCGUCCUCGCGGACGGGCCCGAAACCCGUGGGCGCCGUCGUCCGGUCCCGAGCGUAGCAAGAGAAAUCCCUCGCUCGGAGCGCCUGGCGGUGGCCGCCCCGACCCAUUUUUACAAGGUUGGCCUCGGAUCAGGUGGGGAUACCCGCUGAACUUAAGCAUAUCAAUAAGCGGAGGAAAAGAAACCAACAGGGAUUGCCUCAGUAACGGCGAGUGAAGCGGCAACAGCUCAAAUUUGAAAUCUGGCUCACGCCCGAGUUGUAAUUUGUAGAGGAUGUUUCGGGUGAAGCCGCGGUCCAAGUCCCUUGGAACAGGACGUCAUAGAGGGUGAGAACCCCGUACCUGGCCGCCGGUGCCCCCCGCUGUGAAACUCCUUCGACGAGUCGAGUUGUUUGGGAAUGCAGCUCUAAAUUGGUGGUAAAUUCCAUCUAAAGCUAAAUACCGGCCAGAGACCGAUAGCGCACAAGUAGAGUGAUCGAAAGAUGAAAAGCACUUUGAAAAGAGAGUUAAAAAGUACGUGAAAUUGUUGAAAGGGAAGCGCUUGCGGCCAGACUUGCCCGCGGUUGCUCAGCCCGCCUUUUGGCGGGUGUACUCUUCCGCGGUCAGGCCAGCAUCGGUUUGGGCGGUCGGAUAAAGGCGUUGGGAACGUGGCCUCCCCUCGGGGAGGUGUUAUAGCCCGGCGCGCAAUGCGGCCAGCCCGGACCGAGGU